UGGGGAAUAUUGGACAAUGGGCGCAAGCCUGAUCCAGCCAUGCCGCGUGAGUGAUGAAGGCCCUAGGGUUGUAAAGCUCUUUCACCGGUGAAGAUAAUGACGGUAACCGGAGAAGAAGCCCCGGCUAACUUCGUGCCAGCAGCCGCGGUAAUACGAAGGGGGCUAGCGUUGUUCGGAUUUACUGGGCGUAAAGCGCACGUAGGCGGACUUUUAAGUCAGGGGUGAAAUCCCGGGGCUCAACCCCGGAACUGCCUUUGAUACUGGAAGUCUUGAGUAUGGUAGAGGUGAGUGGAAUUCCGAGUGUAGAGGUGAAAUUCGUAGAUAUUCGGAGGAACACCAGUGGCGAAGGCGGCUCACUGGACCAUUAUUGACGCUGAGGUGCGAAAGCGUGGGGAGCAAACAGG
Molecule: ribosomal RNA, 404 nt
Filed under: Actinomycetes bacterium
Lineage: Bacteria; Bacillati; Actinomycetota; Actinomycetes
Description: Actinobacteria bacterium partial 16S ribosomal RNA
Rfam family: Bacterial small subunit ribosomal RNA
Source: RNAcentral